UGCAGUCGAGCGGAACGAUCCUAGCUUGCUAGGAGGCGUCGAGCGGCGGACGGGUGAGUAAUGCAUAGGAAUCUGCCCGGUAGUGGGGGAUAACUUGAGGAAACUCAAGCUAAUACCGCAUACGCCCUACGGGGGAAAGCAGGGGSUCUUCGGACCUUGCGCUAUCGGAUGAGCUUAUGUCGGAUUAGCUGGUUGGUGAGGUAACGGCUCACCAAGGCGACGAUCCGUAGCUGGUCUGAGAGGAUGAUCAGCCACAUCGGGACUGAGACACGGCCCGAACUCCUACGGGAGGCAGCAGUGGGGAAUAUUGGACAAUGGGGGCAACCCUGAUCCAGCCAUGCCGCGUGUGUGAAGAAGGCCCUCGGGUUGUAAAGCACUUUCAGCGAGGAAGAAUGCUUGUCGGUUAAUACCCGGCAAGGGAGACAUCACUCGCAGAAGAAGCACCGGCUAACUCCGUGCCAGCAGCCGCGGUAAUACGGAGGGUGCGAGCGUUAAUCGGAAUUACUGGGCGUAAAGCGUGCGUAGGCGGCUUGAUAAGCCGGUUGUGAAAGCCCCGGGCUCAACCUGGGAACGGCAUCCGGAACUGUUAGGCUAGAGUGCAGGAGAGGAAGGUAGAAUUCCCGGUGUAGCGGUGAAAUGCGUAGAGAUCGGGAGGAAUACCAGUGGCGAAGGCGGCCUUCUGGACUGACACUGACGCUGAGGUACGAAAGCGUGGGUAGCAAACAGGAUUAGAUACCCUGGUAGUCCACGCCGUAAACGAUGUCGACUAGCCGUUGGGGUCCUCGAGACCUUUGUGGCGCAGUUAACGCACUAAGUCGACCGCCUGGGGAGUACGGCCGCAAGGUUAAAACUCAAUGAAUUGACGGGGGCCCGCACAAGCGGUGGAGCAUGUGGUUUAAUUCGAUGCAACGCGAAGAACCUUACCUAC
RNAcentral lists this ribosomal RNA (928 nucleotides) under Halomonas elongata. RNAcentral describes it as "bacterial SSU rRNA". It matches the Rfam family "Bacterial small subunit ribosomal RNA", at positions 56 to 978 of the family's 1533-position model. The record is from RNAcentral. Lineage: Bacteria; Pseudomonadati; Pseudomonadota; Gammaproteobacteria; Oceanospirillales; Halomonadaceae.